GUGGGGAAUAUUGGACAAUGGGGGGAACCCUGAUCCAGCCAUGCCGCGUGUGUGAAGAAGGCCUUUUGGUUGUAAAGCACUUUAAGCGAGGAGGAGGCUACCGAGAUUAAUACUCUUGGAUAGUGGACGUUACUCGCAGAAUAAGCACCGGCUAACUCUGUGCCAGCAGCCGCGGUAAUACAGAGGGUGCAAGCGUUAAUCGGAUUUACUGGGCGUAAAGCGCGCGUAGGUGGCCAAUUAAGUCAAAUGUGAAAUCCCCGAGCUUAACUUGGGAAUUGCAUUCGAUACUGGUUGGCUAGAGUAUGGGAGAGGAUGGUAGAAUUCCAGGUGUAGCGGUGAAAUGCGUAGAGAUCUGGAGGAAUACCGAUGGCGAAGGCAGCCAUCUGGCCUAAUACUGACACUGAGGUGCGAAAGCAUGGGGAGCAAACAGGAUUAGAAACCCUAGUAGUC
Molecule: ribosomal RNA, 450 nt
Filed under: uncultured bacterium
Lineage: Bacteria
Description: partial 16S ribosomal RNA
Rfam family: Bacterial small subunit ribosomal RNA
Source: RNAcentral